This 2855-nucleotide non-coding RNA is filed under the name Pongo abelii (Sumatran orangutan). The record is from RNAcentral. Lineage: Eukaryota; Metazoa; Chordata; Mammalia; Primates; Hominidae.
GCGCCCCGCGCCCAGCGCCCCGGGCCGUGCAGCCAGCCCUUACCUUGCAACGCCCGGCUGUCCCCCGAUCGCUAAAGCUACUUAUCCCGGGAAAGCUCGCGCGGGACCCGGGAACGAACCCACAGACAAAAAGUGAAACUUCGGCAGGGCUGGAGCGGCUGCUGGUUGGUGCCUUUCCCCCUCCUUCCUCCCCACCGUCCCCACCCCCUCCCCUUGGUCUCCCGUGCGGUGCCCUGAGCGCUGGAGGCUGACGUCAGGGGCCUGAAUUCCUGACUUUGCCUGCACGCAUUUGUCCAUGUAAGGUAUGGGAAGGCGUGUGCCCGCGGAGCCGCCGCGCAGAGCUCGCCUGGCGGGGGAGGGGAAACCCGCAGCCGGCAGUGGCUUUGCCAAAAGGUGGGCGCACUGAGAGCAUUGCAUUUCCUGGGAGGAAGAGGAGGAGAUGCGGGAAUGCAGGGAGCUUGCAAAGGAGGAAGGGAAAGAGGGAGAUGUGGAGACUUUGCCCCUGCUAGAGGAAGAGGAAGGAGACGUAGGAGGAAGCGGCCGCGUCAGGGGGCUCCUGGAAAAUGGAAAAGCCGGCGUCUACUAUUAAGGCGUCAAAUUAGGGCACUGAGCUUGAGUGGAAGAGAUCCAGCCAUGAAAACCCCUUCCAAGAUUUUCCUCGUGAGCCCCGCCCUGGAUUCCCAGCAAGACUCAAAACUUACAAGGUGUCAGAGCUGGCAAAGACCAACUUCCAGCCCGUCCGCUUGGCACGUGAGGAAACUGAAGCUUUCGGAAGAGAAAUGACUUGUACAGGGUCGUCACUCAACAUAUCGAGGAGCGGGCCCAGGCGCUCUGCCUCCCACUUGGGUUCCUGCCUCCAGGAAGGGCCCUGGCUCCCUUUUAGCCCUGAGCCUUGAAGCAGGUUAGAUGUCUGCGGGCUGCGCGGACCACCCAGUGAUUUCUACUGCUCUUGGCCCAGAGCCAGUUCCUGGAAGGUCCUGGUUGACAGUGAGCCCUGAAUAUGAAUGACAAUCAGUUGCUUCAGGGCAACUUCCUCUGUCCUAUGCUCAAAUAAAUGAAUCCCUGGAGUUUAACGUUUACUUCUGAGCCCCGCCCAGAAAGCUUGCUCUGUGCUUAUAGCUUCAAAAAAGUCUGCGAACGAGAUGAACUGGUUUGAAUACAGACAAGCCUGUUAUUGGAAGUUUUGAGUUGGAUUUUUCUUUCCCCUCUGACAUCUGUAAGGAUGAACGACGAUGAGAACCACCACUUACUGUGUUAGGGGAUUAUGACGUGCAGCAGCCAUGGCCUGGAAAGCACUCCAUACCCUGAGACUUCCUUUCCUCGCACUUCUCUCCUAUUAAUAUCUAAAAUAAUCCCUCACGUUAGCACAUAAUGAAAGCAGUCUCUCACCCGGCUAUUGCAUCUUCAGGUGAGUUAGACAGGACAAAGCGUAGUCCCCCCUUUACACUUCAGGCAAAAACUUAAGAAACGUUACUAGCCCAACACAAAAUGACUGACCAAGCACCUGUCUUCCCCUCCUCCCAUCCAGGUCUCCUGACUAAUCCCUUGAUCUUUCCAUACCUGGCCCUGACCUCUAGCAGGACCUAAUUCCAUUCUAACUGUUGAGAGUACACUAUGAGCUACUGAUUCAUAAAAACUCCAAAAAUUGGUUCUUCUGAGGAUGGAUUUUAGUGGGAUUCUUUUGAACAGGAAUUAAGGAAAUAAUGUAAAAACACAUGUUAUUGGAUUUAUUAAGCACCUUCCUUGUGCUUAAUAAGUGUUUGAAUUCAGACAUUUCAGGGGUAAGACUACUUAACCUCUGUGUUCCCUUCAACUGUCUAAUGUACACAUACAAAAAUAUGAACAUGGCUGGGCGCGGUGGCUUACACCUGUAAUUCCAGCACUUGGGGACGCCGAGGCGGGCAAAUCACCUGAGGUCAGGAGCUCGAGCCAACCUGCCCAACAUGGCAAAACCCCGUCUCUACUAAAAAUACAAAAAAUUGGCGCCGGGCGUGGUGGCGAGCCCCUAUAAUCCCAGGUAUUCCGGAAGCCGAGGCAGGAGAAUUGCUUGAACCCGGGAGGCAAAGGUUUUAGUGAGCCGAGAUUGCGCCACUGCACUCCAGCCUGUGGGACAGAGCAAGACUGUUGUCAAAAAAAAAUAUAUAUAUAUACACACAUAUAUAUACACACACAUACAUACAUACAUAUGUAUGUAUGUGUGUGUAUAUAUGUGUGUAUAUAUAUAUGUGUGUAUAUAUGUGUAUAUAUAUAUGUGUAUAUAUAUGUGUGUGUAUAUAUAUAUAUGAAGGCAGUAACAGAAAGGUAAGGUCGAGAAUAACCACCCAUUCCACAGAAUAAUAAAGAAUUUAUCUCUUUGCAACUAACAUAGUUUGAAAUGGGAGAUACGGGCUCUUGGAGAGAUUUUUUUCUGGGGUUUUGAAAAGGUCAGAUCCUAUCAAAACACAAUCCACUCACUCAAACAUUUCAGCAUACUCACAUUCUGAGUACUACUGUUUAGUAUGAAAAGAAUUCCAGUGUUACAUGAAGUAAAAAUGGAUUAUCUCAGUCUUCAUGGAAUAUAACGGGACUUGACCAGCAUUUCCUUUUUUUUUUUCCUUCAGUAACCCACUUAUAAAGAAUAAUAGGGUCCUAAUGAGGAUUAAGAUUUAAUAAGGUGUAAUUAGAGUUGUUCAUUUCUUCCAUCAUAUACAUUAUAAGAGUACUGUGCUGGAUCCAGAAAUGCUACUAAUUAUGUUGAAACUGUUGUAUGGGUGUGUUGGGGAAGAUCACUAUGAUUCUCCUCUUGAAAUUUUUAUGAAUUGCUCACGGUGAGCAUGGUGUUAGCAUGAACAUCAUAUAAAGUUAACUACAAAAGA